Molecule: ribosomal RNA, 253 nt
Filed under: uncultured bacterium
Lineage: Bacteria
Description: partial 16S ribosomal RNA
Rfam family: Bacterial small subunit ribosomal RNA
Source: RNAcentral
UACGAAGGGGGCUAGCGUUGUUCGGAAUUACUGGGCGUAAAGGGCUCGUAGGCGGCCAACUAAGUCAGACGUGAAAUCCCCAGGCUUAACCUGGGAACUGCGUCUGAUACUGGAUGGCUUGAAUUCGGGAGAGGGAUGCAGAAUUCCAGGUGUAGCGGUGAAAUGCGUAGAUAUCUGGAGGAACACCGGUGGCGAAGGCGGCAUCCUGGACCGGUAUUGACGCUGAGGCGCGAAAGCUAGGGGAGCAAACGGG